AUUGAACGCUGGCGGCAGGCCUAACACAUGCAAGUCGAACGGUAACAGGAAGCAGCUUGCUGCUUCGCUGACGAGUGGCGGACGGGUGAGUAAUGUCUGGGAAACUGCCUGAUGGAGGGGGAUAACUACUGGAAACGGUAGCUAAUACCGCAUAACGUCGCAAGACCAAAGAGGGGGACCUUAGGGCCUCUUGCCAUCGGAUGUGCCCAGAUGGGAUUAGCUAGUAGGUGGGGUAACGGCUCACCUAGGCGACGAUCCCUAGCUGGUCUGAGAGGAUGACCAGCCACACUGGAGCUGAGACACGGUCCAGACUCCUACGGGAGGCAGCAGUGGGGAAUAUUGCACAAUGGGCGCAAGCCUGAUGCAGCCAUGCCGCGUGUAUGAAGAAGGCCUUCGGGUUGUAAAGUACUUUCAGCGGGGAGGAAGGGAGUAAAGUUAAUACCUUUGCUCAUUGACGUUACCCGCAGAAGAAGCACCGGCUAACUCCGUG
This 490-nucleotide ribosomal RNA is filed under the name uncultured bacterium. Its description in RNAcentral is "partial 16S ribosomal RNA". It matches the Rfam family "Bacterial small subunit ribosomal RNA", at positions 30 to 507 of the family's 1533-position model. The record is from RNAcentral.